This is a non-coding RNA of Paramuricea clavata, 898 nucleotides long. Lineage: Eukaryota; Metazoa; Cnidaria; Anthozoa; Malacalcyonacea; Plexauridae. The record is from the annotation of a GenBank genome assembly.
GUUCUGUAUAUCAAGGUAUGUAAUGUACAUUUAUACUGAAUUUAUUCGAUUUUUUUCACACGUUGCUUUCACAUUUCCUCAGAGUCUCGGAAAUCACAUUUUCUAACACAGUUUCACACAUACAGAAAGACUUCAUUUCACACAUGCAGAAAGACUUCUUCAGAAAUCACAGUUUUUAACAUAUAAAAAAACUUCAUAUUAUCUCAUCAGUUAAUCAAAUUAUGAUAACAGUACGUAGUAAUGCUUAGAAAGAUUUUAUUCUGUUUUCCAUAUACAGUGUACAACUGUUAUUUCAAUUUUCUCUUUCCUAUAUUUUCUUUAAAGCAGGUACUGUUCUGUUACAAAACAACUAAUAAACAUUUUGUUAUUUUAACAGGUGAACCAUAUUUUACAUGAACUUGGGGAAAAAAACAACUUGAAUUCCAUGGAAAUAUAUAUAAUCAUGUCAUCAAUCAGAUAGUAAACAAUCAUUAAGAUGGCCUCAAGAUUAUAUUUCACAGUGACCAAACAUGAAAAUUUUUAAAUGGGAAUUAGUUGAUGGCAUUAUAGUUUUCUAAUGCUAUAUAAUUUUGUUCAUCAAGGUGAAGAAACCUUAACUCACUAUACCUUUUCCUGUUACAGAGCUAUGGUAGUAAUCUUAGAAGAUUUUCAUGAUCCCUCUAUUCAGUAGUUCUUUAACCAGUCUGGUAUUAUGACUGUAUUAUGUUAAAUAGCCUUGUGUGACUUUUGUAUUUUGUUUCUUUAAUAAUAUUUGCAAUGAUCAAAAUUACAGUUUAAUCUUUGUAUUUCUAAUGAUAAUUACUUGCACAUAUCCAUCACACUUCUCUGUUACUAUUAAACUUAUUACUAUCAUGCAAGUAAAAUCUCUUUGGAAAAAUAAAAUGUUGUCCCAGGAUAG